UAGAGUUUGAUCCUGGCUCAGAUUGAACGCUGGCGGCAUGCUUUACACAUGCAAGUCGAACGGCAGCGCGGGCUUCGGCCUGGCGGCGAGUGGCGAACGGGUGAGUAAUAUAUCGGAACGUACCCAAGAGUGGGGGAUAACGUAGCGAAAGUUACGCUAAUACCGCAUACGAUCUAAGGAUGAAAGCAGGGGACCGCAAGGCCUUGUGCUCCUGGAGCGGCCGAUAUCUGAUUAGCUAGUUGGUGAGGUAAAGGCUCACCAAGGCAACGAUCAGUAGCUGGUCUGAGAGGACGACCAGCCACACUGGAACUGAGACACGGUCCAGACUCCUACGGGAGGCAGCAGUGGGGAAUUUUGGACAAUGGGGGCAACCCUGAUCCAGCAAUGCCGCGUGAGUGAAGAAGGCCUUCGGGUUGUAAAGCUCUUUUGUCAGGGAAGAAAAGGGAGUGGCUAAUAUCCAUUCCUGCUGACGGUACCUGAAGAAUAAGCACCGGCUAACUACGUGCCAGCAGCCGCGGUAAUACGUAGGGUGCAAGCGUUAAUCGGAAUUACUGGGCGUAAAGCGUGCGCAGGCGGUUUCGUAAGUCUGUCGUGAAAUCCCCGGGCUUAACCUGGGAAUGGCGAUGGAGACUGCGAGGCUAGAGUUUGGCAGAGGGGGGUAGAAUUCCACGUGUAGCAGUGAAAUGCGUAGAGAUGUGGAGGAACACCGAUGGCGAAGGCAGCCCCCUGGGUCAAAACUGACGCUCAUGC
This 750-nucleotide ribosomal RNA is filed under the name bacterium enrichment culture clone ADE_13. RNAcentral's name for it is "bacterial SSU rRNA". It matches the Rfam family "Bacterial small subunit ribosomal RNA", at positions 1 to 752 of the family's 1533-position model. The record is from RNAcentral.